GUCUAUGGCCAUACCAUGCUGAAUGCAGUGGAUCUCAUCUGAUCUUGGAAUCUAAGCAGGGUCGGGCCUGGUUAAUACUUGGAUGGGGGAAAUCAGUUUUCAUAAAUU
Molecule: ribosomal RNA, 108 nt
Organism: Fukomys damarensis (Damara mole-rat)
Lineage: Eukaryota; Metazoa; Chordata; Mammalia; Rodentia; Bathyergidae
Source: Ensembl